This 448-nucleotide ribosomal RNA is filed under the name uncultured bacterium. RNAcentral describes it as "bacterial SSU rRNA". It matches the Rfam family "Bacterial small subunit ribosomal RNA", at positions 355 to 825 of the family's 1533-position model. The record is from RNAcentral.
UGGGGAAUAUUGCACAAUGGGCGAAAGCCUGAUGCAGCAAUGCCGCGUGUGUGAAGAAGGCCUGCGGGUUGUAAAGCACUUUUCGGUAGGAAAGAUUAUGACGGUACCUACAGAAGAAGCACCGGCUAACUCCGUGCCAGCAGCCGCGGUAAUACGGAGGGUGCAAGCGUUAAUCGGAAUUACUGGGCGUAAAGCGCGUGUAGGCGGUCUUGUAAGUCGGAUGUGAAAUCCCCGGGCUCAACCUGGGAACUGCAUUCGAUACUGCUCGACUAGGGUAUGGAAGAGGGAAGCGGAAUUCCGGGUGUAGCGGUGAAAUGCGUAGAUAUCCGGAGGAACACCAGUGGCGAAGGCGGCUUCCUGGUCCAAUACUGACGCUGAGACGCGAAAGCGUGGGGAGCAAACAGGAUUAGAUACCCAUGUAGUCCCUGAGCGGGCUGGCAAGGCGCAU